This 939-nucleotide ribosomal RNA is filed under the name Microbacterium phyllosphaerae. Its description in RNAcentral is "bacterial SSU rRNA". It matches the Rfam family "Bacterial small subunit ribosomal RNA", at positions 56 to 1002 of the family's 1533-position model. The record is from RNAcentral. Lineage: Bacteria; Bacillati; Actinomycetota; Actinomycetes; Micrococcales; Microbacteriaceae.
UGCAAGUCGAACGGUGAACACGGAGCUUGCUCUGUGGGAUCAGUGGCGAACGGGUGAGUAACACGUGAGCAACCUGCCCCUGACUCUGGGAUAAGCGCUGGAAACGGCGUCUAAUACUGGAUACGAGUAGCGACCGCAUGGUCAGUUACUGGAAAGAUUUAUUGGUUGGGGAUGGGCUCGCGGCCUAUCAGCUUGUUGGUGAGGUAAUGGCUCACCAAGGCGUCGACGGGUAGCCGGCCUGAGAGGGUGACCGGCCACACUGGGACUGAGACACGGCCCAGACUCCUACGGGAGGCAGCAGUGGGGAAUAUUGCACAAUGGGCGCAAGCCUGAUGCAGCAACGCCGCGUGAGGGAUGACGGCCUUCGGGUUGUAAACCUCUUUUAGCAGGGAAGAAGCGAAAGUGACGGUACCUGCAGAAAAAGCGCCGGCUAACUACGUGCCAGCAGCCGCGGUAAUACGUAGGGCGCAAGCGUUAUCCGGAAUUAUUGGGCGUAAAGAGCUCGUAGGCGGUUUGUCGCGUCUGCUGUGAAAUCCGGAGGCUCAACCUCCGGCCUGCAGUGGGUACGGGCAGACUAGAGUGCGGUAGGGGAGAUUGGAAUUCCUGGUGUAGCGGUGGAAUGCGCAGAUAUCAGGAGGAACACCGAUGGCGAAGGCAGAUCUCUGGGCCGUAACUGACGCUGAGGAGCGAAAGGGUGGGGAGCAAACAGGCUUAGAUACCCUGGUAGUCCACCCCGUAAACGUUGGGAACUAGUUGUGGGGUCCAUUCCACGGAUUCCGUGACGCAGCUAACGCAUUAAGUUCCCCGCCUGGGGAGUACGGCCGCAAGGCUAAAACUCAAAGGAAUUGACGGGGACCCGCACAAGCGGCGGAGCAUGCGGAUUAAUUCGAUGCAACGCGAAGAACCUUACCAAGGCUUGACAUAUACGAGAACGGGCCA